AUGAGAAAGGGAAAUGGACCCAGAAACACAGGAACAGGGUACGGGGGGACGGGAAAUAGGGAAUGGGAAUGGAAAUGGGAACAGGAAAUGGCCCUGGAAACAAGGGAACAAGGUAUGGUGGGAAUGGGAAAUGGGAAUGGGAAACAGGAACAGGAAAUGGGAAACAGGAACAGGAAAUGGGAACAGGAAUGGGAAAUGGCCCAGAAACAGGGUAUGGGAAAUGGGGAACAGGAAACGGGAAUGGGAACAGGAAACGGGAACAGGAAUGGGAAAUGGCCCUGGAAAGGUGGGAGCAGGGUACAGGGGGAUGGGAAAUGGGAAUGGGAAACUGCCCAGAAACGGCCCUGGAAACACGGGAACAGGGAAUGGGAACAGGAACGGGAAAUGGCCCCGGAAACGUGGGAGCAGGGUACAGGGAAACAGGAAAUGGGAAACAGGGACACGGUGGGGAAAAGGGAAUGGGAAAUGGGAACAAGAAACGGGAACCAAGGUGGGGGAAUGGGAAAUGGGAACAGGACCCAAGGUGGGGAGGGGGGAUGGGAAAUGGGGCGGAGGAGGAGGAAGGAAAGAAGGAAGGAAUUGAGGAAGAGGAGGAGGGGAAUGAGAAAGAAGAAAAGGAGGAAGGAAGGCAGGAAAAGGAAGAGGAAAUGGAAGAGGAAAGACAGGAAAGGGAAGAGGAGGAGGAAGAAGUGGAGGAAAAUGAGGAAGGACAAGCAGAGAAGGAAGAAAAGGAAGGGAAGGGAAGAGGAGGAGGAAGGGGAGGAGGAAGGGCACAGGAAAGAGGAAGAGAAGAAAAGAGAAGAGGAAGAGAGGAAGAGAAGGAGGAAGGGCAGCAAAAGAAAGAGAAGAAGGAAGGGCAGGAAAAGAGGAGGAGGAAGGGUGGGAGGAGGAAAUAAAGAAGGAGGAAGGGCAGGAAGAGGAGGAGGAAGAGGAAGGGUGGGAAAAGGCAGAGGGAGAGGAAGAAGAGGAGGAGGAAGGCUGGGAAAAGGAGGAGGAAGUAAAGGAAGAAGAGUGGGAAAAGGAGGAGGAGGAAGAGGAAGAGAGGAGGAGGAGGAAGAGGAAGAGAGGAAGAGGAAGCAGAGAGGAAAAGGAGGAGUGGGAAGAAGAGGAGGAGGAAGGGUGGGAAAAGGAGGAAGAAUUGGGGGAGGAAGAGCAGGAAAAGGAGAAGGAAGUGAAGGAGGAAGGGCAGGAAAAGGAGGAAGAGGAAGAGGAGGAAGGCUGGGAAAAGGGGACUCCCCCCUUAAAAAUUCUUCAUCCACAGAGGAAGAAAGAGGAAGAGGAGGAGGAAGAGGAUGA
RNAcentral lists this long non-coding RNA (1296 nucleotides) under Taeniopygia guttata (zebra finch). RNAcentral's name for it is "lncRNA (ENSTGUG00000020780.1)". Lineage: Eukaryota; Metazoa; Chordata; Aves; Passeriformes; Estrildidae. The record is from RNAcentral.